UAUUAAAAUUUUUAUCAAUUUCUACUAUUAAAAACUGGUAUAGAUGAUGAAAUAACUAAACAGUUGCAUGUAAGUGCACGAUGCUGACAUAUAGAGACCAGUUUUUAACCGUAAAAAUUGAUGAAAUGUUUAACA
Molecule: non-coding RNA, 135 nt
Organism: Gossypium hirsutum (cotton)
Lineage: Eukaryota; Viridiplantae; Streptophyta; Magnoliopsida; Malvales; Malvaceae
Source: Rfam